Molecule: ribosomal RNA, 249 nt
Filed under: uncultured bacterium
Lineage: Bacteria
Description: partial 16S ribosomal RNA
Rfam family: Bacterial small subunit ribosomal RNA
Source: RNAcentral
UACGUAGGGUGCGAGCGUUGUCCGGAAUUACUGGGCGUAAAGAGCUCGUAGGUGGUUUGUCGCGUUGUUCGUGAAAACCGGGGGCUUAACCCUCGGCGUGCGGGCGAUACGGGCAGACGUGGAGUACUGCAGGGGAGACUGGAAUUCCUGGUGUAGCGGUGAAAUGCGUAGGAUAUCGGGGAGGAAUACCUAUGGCGAAAGGCAGGUUACUGGGCCAUUACUGACACUGACGCGCGAAAGCUAGGGGAG